This 365-nucleotide RNase P RNA is filed under the name Candidatus Wildermuthbacteria bacterium. RNAcentral's name for it is "RNase P RNA component class A". It matches the Rfam family "Bacterial RNase P class A". Rfam says of the family: Ribonuclease P (RNase P) is a ubiquitous endoribonuclease, found in archaea, bacteria and eukarya as well as chloroplasts and mitochondria. Its best characterised activity is the generation of mature 5'-ends of tRNAs by cleaving the 5'-leader elements of precursor-tRNAs. Cellular RNase Ps are ribonucleoproteins. Lineage: Bacteria; Candidatus Wildermuthiibacteriota. The record is from RNAcentral.
CCAAGUAGGCAGGUGGUUACUCUUCUUUAUUGAAGAGAGGAAGGUCCGAACACUUAUUCUCUGAAAGGAGUCUAACAGGUAGCGGGUAACACCCGUCUGGAGUAAUCCACGAGGUGCGAACAGUGACGCUGAAAUUUGAAAAGGUUUCAGUAUCCAGUUUACUGGAUAAAUCUAAAUGGUAACAUUUAGGGUGAAACGGCUAAAUCCUUACCCAAGUGCAAGAGCAAACCGAGAAUACAGCUUUCAUGUUGCAUAUCUCGUGAAAAGUGGCUCGCAUGAGCUCAAAGGUAACUUUGAGCCAAGAUAGAUGAUCACCCAUCCCCAUUAGGGGAGGACAGAAUUCGGCCUAUAACCUACUUGGGUUU